Long non-coding RNA from Aegilops tauschii subsp. strangulata, 582 nucleotides. RefSeq lists it as uncharacterized. Lineage: Eukaryota; Viridiplantae; Streptophyta; Magnoliopsida; Poales; Poaceae. The record is from RefSeq and is a predicted model, not a curated record.
CUUAUGAGCAAAGACCUACAGGUCCAUGUACAUGUGUUUUUUCAAGCUUAACCAGCUGGAUUAUUGAAAUUACAGCUUCAACUUUGCUGUUGACCAAUCAGUAAUUGACAAGUGUUCAAUUAAUUUGAGUUACUUCGUUGCAGAUAAAUAUUAUCAAUGUGGUAUUUGUAUUCAUUUACUGUCAGUCAAAGCUGUUUAAGUGAGAUCAAGAUCAUAUGGUACGGAAGAUGUUGAAUUUUGGAUUCUGUAGCUACCAACUUCCCGCUACGCUAGCUGCAUGUUCCAAGCUCUGCUCAGGGGAUCAUGAGAAUUCAUCUAAUGUUCCCGAUGUUAGCAAAGCAGUUACAAGCUAUGUGGGAAACAGGAAAUCUGUCAAAAGGCUCAAAGCCAAGCAUUCGAUGAGUCCUGCUGCUCAAAUACGUAGCUGUGGAGUAGUGUGUUCUGGUCCUGUUUGAUGAUGUUGAUCACAGGACCUAUGCCGACCUUACGGUAAUUGCUUAUUAAGCAUGAAAUUGUCUUUCCGGCACAUUUCAUUUCAUUCUUAUUUGAAAAUCUAUGAUGGUGCACAUGCUUCAAGUUCCA